Molecule: transfer RNA, 57 nt
Filed under: Loxodonta africana (African savanna elephant)
Lineage: Eukaryota; Metazoa; Chordata; Mammalia; Proboscidea; Elephantidae
Rfam family: tRNA
About the family: Transfer RNA (tRNA) molecules are approximately 80 nucleotides in length.
Source: Rfam by way of RNAcentral
UGGCACAGUGGUUAAGCAUUUGGCUGCUAAUCAAAAGGUUGGUGGUUCAAAUCCACU